This 468-nucleotide ribosomal RNA is filed under the name uncultured bacterium. Its description in RNAcentral is "partial 16S ribosomal RNA". It matches the Rfam family "Bacterial small subunit ribosomal RNA", at positions 28 to 507 of the family's 1533-position model. The record is from RNAcentral.
GACGAACGCUGGCGGCGUGCUUAACACAUGCAAGUCGAACGGAAAGGCCCUGCUUUUGUGGGGUGCUCGAGUGGCGAACGGGUGAGUAACACGUGAGUAACCUGCCCUUGACUUUGGGAUAACUUCAGGAAACUGGGGCUAAUACCGGAUAGGAGCUCCUGCUGCAUGGUGGGGGUUGGAAAGUUUCGGCGGUUGGGGAUGGACUGGCGGCUUAUCAGCUUGUUUGUGGGGUAGUGGCUGACCAAGGCUAUGACGGGUAGCCGGCCUGAGAGGGGGACCAGCCACAAUGGGACUGAGAGACGGCCCAGACUCCUACGGGAGGCAGCAGUGGGGAAUAUUGCACAAUGGGCGGGAGCCUGAUGCAGCGGCGCCGCGUGCGGGAUGACGGCCUUCGGGUUGUAAACCGCUUUCGCCUGUGACGAAGCGUGAGUGACGGUAAUGGGUAAAGAAGCACCGGCUAACUACGUG